UCGGGAAUAUUGCGCAAUGGAGGAAACUCUGACGCAGCGACGCCGCGUGGGUGAUGAAGGCUUUCGGGUCGUAAAGCCCUGUCGAGUGGGACGAAAGACGAUGUGGCUAAUAUCCACGUCGAGUGACGGUACCACUAAAGGAAGCACCGGCUAACUACGUGCCAGCAGCCGCGGUAAUACGUAGGGUGCAAGCGUUGCUCGGAAUCAUUGGGCGUAAAGCGGGUGUAGGCGGACUUAUAAGUCAGGUGUGAAAUCCCAGGGCUCAACCCUGGAAGUGCACUUGAUACUGCAAGUCUUGAGUGUGGUAGAGGCUAUUAGAAUUCCUGGUGUAGUGGUGAAAUACGUAGAUAUCAGGAGGAAUACCGGAGGCGAAGGCGGAUAGCUGGGCCAACACUGACGCUGAGACCCGAAAGCGUGGGGAUCAGACAGGAUUAGAUACCCGCGUAGUCCCUGAGCGGGCUGGCAAGGCGCAU
RNAcentral lists this ribosomal RNA (473 nucleotides) under uncultured bacterium. RNAcentral describes it as "bacterial SSU rRNA". It matches the Rfam family "Bacterial small subunit ribosomal RNA", at positions 355 to 825 of the family's 1533-position model. The record is from RNAcentral.